This is a long non-coding RNA of Oncorhynchus keta (chum salmon), 404 nucleotides long. RefSeq lists it as uncharacterized. The record is from RefSeq and is a predicted model, not a curated record. The transcript has 3 exons. Lineage: Eukaryota; Metazoa; Chordata; Actinopteri; Salmoniformes; Salmonidae.
CUGGAAGAUUGUGAGUUUUAUGUUCGAUGACUUCUUUGGUUGAUAGGCUGUUUGGUGUCGUCUUGUGUCUGAAUGAGGGACAACUUGUUGUGGACGUUUGAGAGGUUCUACACUACCUGUUUAUAGACAUGAGAUCAAACAGGGUGGAUGUUUGAGAGGUUCUACACUACCUGUUUAUAGACAUGAGAUCAAACAGGGUGGAUGUUUGAGAGGUUCUACACUACCUGUUUAUAGACAUGAGAUCAAACAGGGUGGAUGUUUGAGAGGUUCUACACUACCUGUUUAUAGACAUGAGAUCAAACAGGGUGGAUGUUUGAGAGGUUCUACACUACCUGUUUAUAGACAUGAGAUCAAACAGGGUGGAUGUUUGAGAGGUUCUACACUACCUGUUUAUAGACAUGAGA